Molecule: ribosomal RNA, 155 nt
Filed under: Miscanthus sacchariflorus
Lineage: Eukaryota; Viridiplantae; Streptophyta; Magnoliopsida; Poales; Poaceae
Description: 4.5S ribosomal RNA
Source: RNAcentral
GAGACAGCGACGGGUUCUCCACCCAUACGGGGAUGGAGCGACAGAAGUAUGGAAAUAGGAUAAGGUAGCGGCGAGACGAGCCGUUUAAAUAGGUGUCAAGUGGAAGUGCAGUGAUGUAUGCAGCUGAGGCAUCCUAACGAACGAACGAUUUGAAC